CCUACGGGAGGCAGCAGUGGGGGAUAUUGCGCAAUGGGCGAAAGCCUGACGCAGCGACGCCGCGUGGGUGAUGAAGGCCUUCGGGUCGUAAAGCCCUGUCGAGGGGAACGAAACGAUUGCGACCUAACACGUCGCAGUCCUGACGGUACCCCUAAAGGAAGCACCGGCUAACCCCGUGCCAGCAGCCGCGGUAAUACGGAGGGUGCGAGCGUUGUUCGGAAUCACUGGGCGUAAAGGGCGUGUAGGCGGUCCGCUAAGUCUGAUGUGAAAGCCCGGGGCUCACCCCCGGAAGGGCAUUGGAAACUGACGGACUGGAGUCCCGGAGAGGAGAGUGGAAUUCCUGGUGUAGCGGUGAAAUGCGUAGAUAUCAGGAGGAACACCGGUGGCGAAGGCGGCUCUCUGGACGGUGACUGACGCUGAGACGCGAAAGCGUGGGGAGCAAACAGGAUUAGAUACCCUGGUAGUCCACGCUGUAAACGAUGAGCACUAGGUGUCGUGGGUAUUGACCCCCGCGGUGCCGCAGCUAACGCAUUAAGUGCUCCGCCUGGGGACUACGGCCGCAAGGUUAAAACUCAAAGGAAUUGACGG
Molecule: ribosomal RNA, 588 nt
Filed under: uncultured bacterium
Lineage: Bacteria
Description: bacterial SSU rRNA
Rfam family: Bacterial small subunit ribosomal RNA
Source: RNAcentral